This is a small nucleolar RNA of Microtus ochrogaster (prairie vole), 131 nucleotides long. Its record names the gene SNORA71. It matches the Rfam family "Small nucleolar RNA SNORA71". Rfam says of the family: The members of this family belong to the H/ACA class of snoRNAs which bind a number of proteins (including dyskerin, Gar1p and Nop10p) to form snoRNP complexes. Lineage: Eukaryota; Metazoa; Chordata; Mammalia; Rodentia; Cricetidae. The record is from Ensembl.
CCCUGCAUCCGAAAGUGAUCUUGGCUGCCCAUGCCAUGGUCAUUGGUAGUGCAGGGAGAGGAUGCUGAAAGACAUGUUCCUGGGUUUGGGGCGCCCAUCCUGCCCCCUCAAAAGCCUGGAGCUUUCCUACA